UACAGAGGUCUCAAGCGUUGUUCGGAUUCACUGGGCGUAAAGGGUGCGUAGGCGGUCGGGUAAGUCUGACGUGAAAUCUCCAAGCCUAACUUGGAAACUGCGUCGGAUACUCUCCGGCUAGAGGAAUGGAGGGGAGACUGGAAUACUUGGUGUAGCAGUGAAAUGCGUAGAUAUCAAGUGGAACACCAGUGGCGAAGGCGAGUCUCUGGACAUUUCCUGACGCUGAGGCACGAAAGCCGGGGGAGCAAACGGG
RNAcentral lists this ribosomal RNA (253 nucleotides) under uncultured bacterium. RNAcentral describes it as "partial 16S ribosomal RNA". It matches the Rfam family "Bacterial small subunit ribosomal RNA", at positions 524 to 776 of the family's 1533-position model. The record is from RNAcentral.